This 1351-nucleotide ribosomal RNA is filed under the name metagenome. RNAcentral describes it as "bacterial LSU rRNA". It matches the Rfam family "Bacterial large subunit ribosomal RNA", at positions 1424 to 2925 of the family's 2925-position model. The record is from RNAcentral.
AACUUUUUAUUAGUUAGUUAUUGAUAAUGUUUCCUAGAAAAGCUCCAACUGCUUAUCUUUUUAAGAGAAAUAUAAAAUUACCUGUACCAUAAACCGACACAGGUAGGUGUGAGUAGAGAAUACUCAGGGGCGCGAGAUAACUCUCUCUAAGGAACUCGGCAAAAUAGCCCCGUAACUUCGGGAGAAGGGGUGCCUCUCAGCAAUGAGAGGCCGCAGUGACCAGGCCCAGGCGACUGUUUACCAAAAACACCGGUCUCCGCAAAGUCGUAAGACAAUAUAUGGGGGCUGACGCCUGCCCAGUGCCGGAAGGUGAAGGAAGUUGGUUAUUCAUACCGAAAGGAGAAGAAGCUGAUAACCGAAGCCCCGGUGAACGGCGGCCGUAACAAUGACGGUCCUAAGGUAGCGAAAUUCCUUGUCGGGUAAGUUCCGACCCGCACGAAAGGCGUAACGAUCUGGGCGCUGUCUCGGAGAGAGGCUCGGUGAAAUAGACAUGUCCGUGAAGAUGCGGACUUCCCGCGCCUGGACAGAAAGACCCUAUGAAGCUUGACUGUAGCCUGAGAUUGAGUUUGGGUUCAUCUUGCGCAGCCUAGGUGGGAGGUGUUGAUAAUUUACUUGCGGGUAAAUUGGAGCCAUCAGUGAGAGACCACUCUGGACGAGCUAGAAUUCUAAUGGCGAUCCUUGAAUCAGGACGCUUGACAGUCUCAGGUGGGCAGUUUCUUUGGGGCGAAGACCUCCUAAAAGGUAACGGAGGUGUGCAAAGGUUCCUUCAGGCUGGACGGAAAUCAGUCGAAGAGUGUAAAGAUAUAAGGGAGCUUGACUGCAAGACCUACAAGUCGAGCAGGGGCGAAAGCCGGCCUUAGUGAUCCGACGGUUCCGUGUGGAAGGGCCGUCGCUCAACGGAUAAAAGUUACUCUAAGGAUAACAGGCUGAUCUUCCCCAAGAGUUCACAUCGACGGGAAGGUUUGGCACCUCGAUGUCGGCUCGUCGCAUCCUGGGGCGGUAGUACGUCCCAAGGGUUGGGCUGUUCGCCCAUGAAAGCGGUACGUGAGCUGGGUUCAGAACGUCGUGAGACAGUUUGGUCCAUAUCCGGUGUGGGCGUUAGAGCAUUGAAAGGAGUUUCCAUUGUACGAGAGGACUUGGAAGGCUAUACCUCUGGUGUACCAGUUAUUGUACCUACGGUAAACGCUGGGUAGCUAUGUAUAGAGCGGAUAACUGCUGAAAGCAUCUAAGUAGGAAGCCCACCUUAAGAUGAGUGCUCUCUAAGGUCACGGCAAGACUAGCCGGUUGAAAGGUGUUCAGUGUAAGGUUAGUAAUGGCCUCAGCUUAGACAUACUUAUAGACCUUCGAUUUU